This 426-nucleotide ribosomal RNA is filed under the name Bacteroidota bacterium. Its description in RNAcentral is "Bacteroidetes bacterium partial 16S ribosomal RNA". It matches the Rfam family "Bacterial small subunit ribosomal RNA", at positions 355 to 773 of the family's 1533-position model. Lineage: Bacteria; Pseudomonadati; Bacteroidota. The record is from RNAcentral.
UAGGGAAUCUUCCGCAAUGGACGCAAGUCUGACGGAGCAACGCCGCGUGAGUGAAGAAGGAUUUCGGUUCGUAAAACUCUGUUGUUAGAGAAGAACAGCGCAUAGAGUAACUGUUAUGCGUGUGACGGUAUCUAACCAGAAAGCCACGGCUAACUACGUGCCAGCAGCCGCGGUAAUACGUAGGUGGCAAGCGUUGUCCGGAUUUAUUGGGCGUAAAGCGAGCGCAGGCGGUCAAUUAAGUCUGAUGUGAAAGCCCCCGGCUCAACCGGGGAGGGUCAUUGGAAACUGGUUGACUUGAGUGCAGAAGAGGAGAGUGGAAUUCCAUGUGUAGCGGUGAAAUGCGUAGAUAUAUGGAGGAACACCAGUGGCGAAGGCGACUCUCUGGUCUGUAGCUGACGCUGAGGCUCGAAAGCGUGGGUAGCAAAC